CUGUAAGCCUGUGAAGGUGGCCUGUGAGGGUUGCUGGAGGUAUCAGAAGUGCGAAUGCUGACAUAAGUAACGAUAAAGCGGGUGAAAAGCCCGCUCGCCGGAAGACCAAGGGUUCCUGUCCAACGUUAAUCGGGGCAGGGUGAGUCGACCCCUAAGGCGAGGCCGAAAGGCGUAGUCGAUGGGAAACAGGUUAAUAUUCCUGUACUUGGUGUUACUGCGAAGGGGGGACGGAGAAGGCUAUGUUGGCCGGGCGACGGUUGUCCCGGUUUAAGCGUGUAGGCUGGUUUUCCAGGCAAAUCCGGAAAACCAAGGCUGAGGCGUGAUGACGAGGCACUACGGUGCUGAAGUGACAAAUGCCCUGCUUCCAGGAAAAGCCUCUAAGCAUCAGGUAACAUCAAAUCGUACCCCAAACCGACACAGGUGGUCAGGUAGAGAAUACCAAGGCGCUUGAGAGAACUCGGGUGAAGGAACUAGGCAAAAUGGUGCCGUAACUUCGGGAGAAGGCACGCUGAUAUGUAGGUGAAGCGACUUGCUCGUGGAGCUGAAAUCAGUCGAAGAUACCAGCUGGCUGCAACUGUUUAUUAAAAACACAGCACUGUGCAAACACGAAAGUGGACGUAUACGGUGUGACGCCUGCCCGGUGCCGGAAGGUUAAUUGAUGGGGUUAGCGGUAACGCGAAGCUCUUGAUCGAAGCCCCGGUAAACGGCGGCCGUAACUAUAACGGUCCUAAGGUAGCGAAAUUCCUUGUCGGGUAAGUUCCGACCUGCACGAAUGGCGUAAUGAUGGCCAGGCUGUCUCCACCCGAGACUCAGUGAAAUUGAACUCGCUGUGAAGAUGCAGUGUACCCGCGGCAAGACGGAAAGACCCCGUGAACCUUUACUAUAGCUUGACACUGAACAUUGAGCCUUGAUGUGUAGGAUAGGUGGGAGGCUUUGAAGUGUGGACGCCAGUCUGCAUGGAGCCGACCUUGAAAUACCACCCUUUAAUGUUUGAUGUUCUAACGUUGGCCCCUAAUCGGGGUUGCGGACAGUGUCUGGUGGGUAGUUUGACUGGGGCGGUCUCCUCCUAAAGAGUAACGGAGGAGCACGAAGGUUGGCUAAUCCUGGUCGGACAUCAGGAGGUUAGUGCAAUGGCAUAAGCCAGCUUGACUGCGAGCGUGACGGCGCGAGCAGGUGCGAAAGCAGGUCAUAGUGAUCCGGUGGUUCUGAAUGGAAGGGCCAUCGCUCAACGGAUAAAAGGUACUCCGGGGAUAACAGGCUGAUACCGCCCAAGAGUUCAUAUCGACGGCGGUGUUUGGCACCUCGAUGUCGGCUCAUCACAUCCUGGGGCUGAAGUAGGUCCCAAGGGUAUGGCUGUUCGCCAUUUAAAGUGGUACGCGAGCUGGGUUUAGAACGUCGUGAGACAGUUCGGUCCCUAUCUGCCGUGGGCGCUGGAGAACUGAGGGGGGCUGCUCCUAGUACGAGAGGACCGGAGUGGACGCAUCACUGGUGUUCGGGUUGUCAUGCCAAUGGCACUGCCCGGUAGCUAAAUGCGGAAGAGAUAAGUGCUGAAAGCAUCUAAGCACGAAACUUGCCCCGAGAUGAGUUCUCCCUGAGACUUAGAGUCUCCUGAAGGAACGUUGAAGACGACGACGUUGAUAGGCCGGGUGUGUAAGCGCAGCGAUGCGUUGAGCUAACCGGUACUAAUGAACCGUGAGGCUUAACCUUACAACGCCGAAG
Molecule: ribosomal RNA, 1719 nt
Filed under: Escherichia coli
Lineage: Bacteria; Pseudomonadati; Pseudomonadota; Gammaproteobacteria; Enterobacterales; Enterobacteriaceae
Description: partial 23S ribosomal RNA
Rfam family: Bacterial large subunit ribosomal RNA
Source: RNAcentral